This 441-nucleotide ribosomal RNA is filed under the name uncultured bacterium. RNAcentral describes it as "partial 16S ribosomal RNA". It matches the Rfam family "Bacterial small subunit ribosomal RNA", at positions 338 to 795 of the family's 1533-position model. The record is from RNAcentral.
CCUACGGGGCGCAGCAGUGGGGGAUAUUGCAUAAUGGGGGAAACCCUGAUGCAGCGACGCCGCGUGGGUGAAGAAGUAUUUCGGUAUGUAAAGCCCUAUCAGCAGGGAAGAAAGAAGACGGUACCUGACUAAGAAGCCCCGGCUAACUACGUGCCAGCAGCCGCGGUAAUACGUAGGGGGCGAGCGUUAUCCGGAUUCACUGGGUGUAAAGGGAGCGUAGACGGCCGUGCAAGCCAGGAGUGAAAGCCCGGGGCCCAACCCCGGGACUGCUCUUGGAACUGUGCGGCUGGAGUGCGGGAGGGGCAGGCGGAAUUCCUGGUGUAGCGGUGAAAUGCGUAGAUAUCAGGAGGAACACCGGCGGCGAAGGCGGCCUGCUGGACCGCGACUGACGUUGAGGCUCGAAAGCGUGGGGAGCGAACAGGAUUAGAUACCCUGGUAGUC